Molecule: ribosomal RNA, 1509 nt
Filed under: Klebsiella pneumoniae
Lineage: Bacteria; Pseudomonadati; Pseudomonadota; Gammaproteobacteria; Enterobacterales; Enterobacteriaceae
Description: bacterial SSU rRNA
Rfam family: Bacterial small subunit ribosomal RNA
Source: RNAcentral
GAUUAGAGUUUGAUCCUGGCUCAGAUUGAACGCUGGCGGCAGGCCUAACACAUGCAAGUCGAGCGGUAGCACAGAGAGCUUGCUCUCGGGUGACGAGCGGCGGACGGGUGAGUAAUGUCUGGGAAACUGCCUGAUGGAGGGGGAUAACUACUGGAAACGGUAGCUAAUACCGCAUAACGUCGCAAGACCAAAGUGGGGGACCUUCGGGCCUCAUGCCAUCAGAUGUGCCCAGAUGGGAUUAGCUGGUAGGUGGGGUAACGGCUCACCUAGGCGACGAUCCCUAGCUGGUCUGAGAGGAUGACCAGCCACACUGGAACUGAGACACGGUCCAGACUCCUACGGGAGGCAGCAGUGGGGAAUAUUGCACAAUGGGCGCAAGCCUGAUGCAGCCAUGCCGCGUGUGUGAAGAAGGCCUUCGGGUUGUAAAGCACUUUCAGCGGGGAGGAAGGCGGUGAGGUUAAUAACCUCAUCGAUUGACGUUACCCGCAGAAGAAGCACCGGCUAACUCCGUGCCAGCAGCCGCGGUAAUACGGAGGGUGCAAGCGUUAAUCGGAAUUACUGGGCGUAAAGCGCACGCAGGCGGUCUGUCAAGUCGGAUGUGAAAUCCCCGGGCUCAACCUGGGAACUGCAUUCGAAACUGGCAGGCUAGAGUCUUGUAGAGGGGGGUAGAAUUCCAGGUGUAGCGGUGAAAUGCGUAGAGAUCUGGAGGAAUACCGGUGGCGAAGGCGGCCCCCUGGACAAAGACUGACGCUCAGGUGCGAAAGCGUGGGGAGCAAACAGGAUUAGAUACCCUGGUAGUCCACGCUGUAAACGAUGUCGAUUUGGAGGUUGUGCCCUUGAGGCGUGGCUUCCGGAGCUAACGCGUUAAAUCGACCGCCUGGGGAGUACGGCCGCAAGGUUAAAACUCAAAUGAAUUGACGGGGGCCCGCACAAGCGGUGGAGCAUGUGGUUUAAUUCGAUGCAACGCGAAGAACCUUACCUGGUCUUGACAUCCACAGAACUUAGCAGAGAUGCUUUGGUGCCUUCGGGAACUGUGAGACAGGUGCUGCAUGGCUGUCGUCAGCUCGUGUUGUGAAAUGUUGGGUUAAGUCCCGCAACGAGCGCAACCCUUAUCCUUUGUUGCCAGCGGUCCGGCCGGGAACUCAAAGGAGACUGCCAGUGAUAAACUGGAGGAAGGUGGGGAUGACGUCAAGUCAUCAUGGCCCUUACGACCAGGGCUACACACGUGCUACAAUGGCAUAUACAAAGAGAAGCGACCUCGCGAGAGCAAGCGGACCUCAUAAAGUAUGUCGUAGUCCGGAUUGGAGUCUGCAACUCGACUCCAUGAAGUCGGAAUCGCUAGUAAUCGUAGAUCAGAAUGCUACGGUGAAUACGUUCCCGGGCCUUGUACACACCGCCCGUCACACCAUGGGAGUGGGUUGCAAAAGAAGUAGGUAGCUUAACCUUCGGGAGGGCGCUUACCACUUUGUGAUUCAUGACUGGGGUGAAGUCGUAACAAGGUAACCGAAU